RNA transcript from Xenia sp. Carnegie-2017, 1915 nucleotides. It is a transcript of the gene named venom phosphodiesterase-like, with no coding region annotated. The record is from RefSeq and is a predicted model, not a curated record. NCBI's taxonomy places the organism in Eukaryota, Metazoa, Cnidaria, Anthozoa, Malacalcyonacea, Xeniidae. The transcript has 12 exons.
AUGUAGAAAUGUUAUAUUUGUAUGAAAGCAUGUUUAUAACAUGCAUGCAAAUAACCACACACAUAUAUAUAUAUGUAUUGGAAUUGUUUAAGACUUGUUGGGUGUUAGCCCUGUAUUUUAUAUCAGUCAAUAGUCAGUAUAUUAUCUUGGCUGAUGGUCAGUAUUGUACACUGAUUUAUGAUCAGUUUUCUACAAUGGUUAAUGCUCAAUAUAUUACAUCGUUUUAUGGUGAGCUUGUUAGCUACAUUAGUUGAUGGUAAGUGUGUUACAUUGGUUCAUUGUUAAUGUAGUACAUUCGUUUACGGUGAGCAUUGUUAAAUGUGUUGAUGGUAAGCUAAGUAUGUUACAUUGGCUCAUGGUAAGUUUACUUUGGACGUACCAGUAUUGUAAUGUAUUGCAGGUUUCAGUCAUUUUUUCUUCUCAUAUUUUUGACGUGGAAAACAUUUUAGAUAAAUAGAUUGUUUCCUUUUCAUGACAGUACGAAGUAAAGCCAAGCAGUGUCAAGAAAUCUGUUUCAGGUGCUGUACUCGCCUUUAGAACAAAAAAUCCAGAUGAUCGUGAGGAAGUUUUUAAUAAGAUCAAGUGCGUGGAUGAAACAUUUCACAGCUUUUACAAGGAAGACUUACCGAAGAGAAUGCAUUUUUCAAAUAGCAAACGCAUUGAUGACAUUAUAGUAUUGGCUGAGCUAGGACGAUUGGUUGCGAUAGAUUCCGAAGAAGUUGUUGAUCGAUGCAGUCUUGGUACACAUGGUUAUGAUCCUAUCAUUCCAGACAUGUGGACAAUUUUCAUGGCUAGAGGGCCUUCGUUCUUGAAAAAUAAAGUGGUAGACCAUUUUUCAAAUGUUGAAGUGUACAACUUACUUUCAGAAGUUUCAACUGGAUGUGGACAUGUUGAAAAAGGUUUUCGAUGCUACAUCUCAACAAGGGAAACUGUUUGAAAUAAAGCAUUUACCUUGGGGUAUGCCUGAAGGAGGAGUUGGACAGAAGAGUUGUUUGUUAUCGCAAAAACAUUUUAUCAUCGCAUACAGUACAAUUUUACGUAUUCCUCUUUGGGCAGCAUACACCAUCAACUUUAAGCAAAUUCUAAGACGUAAUAACCUACAAGAAAACUGCCACAGAUCAGAUGCUCGUCUUCAAAAGUUAUUUGGCAACUGCUCUACCUACAAGAACGGCUAUAAGUUUGGUAAAGGAAGACUAAUACCAAAACGAGAUCUUACUUUUGACAAUAUUACAAUAUUCUUAUCUUCCACUUUGUCAAACCUCGUUCCUAUGGAUAUUGAUUUGAUAGAGAUCUGGCAAGAACUUGAAAGCACAAUUAAAAAGUGGGCUGACAAAUAUAGCUUGGUUCAUGUGAUUGCGGGCUCUAUAUUUGAUGCCGACGAUAAUGGCUUAAAAGACCAAGAAAUCGUUUCUGAUAGACGUCUGGGAACUCAACAAAAAAUCCAGCCAUUCCAACUCAUUUUUACAAAAUUGUCACAAGAUGUGACGAGAACAUGACGUCAGAUAAUGCAACCAAUGAAUGCCGUGGAACCAUUCACGUGAUUUCGUUCAUUUUUAAAAAUAGAUAUGAGAAAUGUAAGUUCCGAACAUCGAAAAAAAUUAUUCUUCAAAAUGUCGCUCCAGUCCGAGAUAUAGAACUCCUCACUGGAAUCAAUUUCUUCUCAAACUUGCCUGCACAACUCCAGGUUGAUCUAAAAACAUUUGUUCCUGUGGAACUGUGGAAGUUAUAAUCAUGCAAUGGUAAAAUUGUGAGAAGUCAUGUUCUUGUGACAUUUUUGUGACAUUUUUGUUUUAUUGUGACAUUUUUGUUGUAGUCUUUUGAAAUUGACCUAAUUGAUUGAAAGGGUAUUCUUUUCUGGUAUGAAGUUGACACUCAAGCAGCGACCCCCCUUAAAUAAAAAUGAAUCUACACGCAA